UUUAUUUUGGUUGAAAUAUGUUGAUUUGGUUAGGCCAGGCCCAAUUUUGAAAUUGGCCCAAAUUAAUCCACGUUCUCUCUCCUUGUCUUUCCUCGAAGCAAACGAAUAGCAGAAAAACAAAUAAAAUAAAAUAAAAGAGGAAGAAAACUACAAAAGGCGAAAGAAGUAUCUCAAUAACACAAAAGUCGUCUUCGAUCAAAAUCCCCAAUUCUUCGAAACCCUUGUUUGAUUCAAUUCUCAGAUCCGAAACAUUUCGCGAUGGGAAACACGGAGAAGCUGUUGAAUCAGAUCAUGGACUUGAAAUUCACGUCAAAAUCUCUUCAGCGCCAGGCGAGAAAAUGCGAGAAGGAAGAGAAAGCCGAGAAAUUGAAGGUGAAAAUAAUAAGGGUCUGUAUCGCGCCCGUGUAAUAUAUAUAUAUAUAUUUCCAAUCGACCGUUACAGAUUUUGUGAAUUUAUUUAUUUUGGUUGAAAUAUGUUGAUUUGGUUAGGCCAGGCCCAAUUUUGAAAUUGGCCCAAAUUAAUCCACGUUCUCUCUCCUUGUCUUUCCUCGAAGCAAACGAAUAGCAGAAAAACAAAUAAAAUAAAAUAAAAGAGGAAGAAAACUACAAAAGGCGAAAGAAGUAUCUCAAUAACACAAAAGUCGUCUUCGAUCAAAAUCCCCAAUUCUUCGAAACCCUUGUUUGAUUCAAUUCUCAGAUCCGAAACAUUUCGCGAUGGGAAACACGGAGAAGCUGUUGAAUCAGAUCAUGGACUUGAAAUUCACGUCAAAAUCUCUUCAGCGCCAGGCGAGAAAAUGCGAGAAGGAAGAGAAAGCCGAGAAAUU
Molecule: long non-coding RNA, 824 nt
Filed under: Citrus sinensis (sweet orange)
Lineage: Eukaryota; Viridiplantae; Streptophyta; Magnoliopsida; Sapindales; Rutaceae
Description: long non-coding RNA (CSIN_LNC000359)
Source: RNAcentral